GUCGAGCGGAAAGGCCCUUUCGGGGGUACUCGAGCGGCGAACGGGUGAGUAACACGUGAGUAAUCUGCCCUUGGCUUCGGGAUAGCCACCGGAAACGGUGAUUAAUACCGGAUACGACACAUCACUGCAUGGUGCGUGUGUGGAAAGUUUUUUCGGCCAGGGAUGUGCUCGCGGCCUAUCAGCUUGUUGGUGGGGUAAUGGCCUACCAAGGCUUCGACGGGUAGCCGGCCUGAGAGGGUGACCGGCCACACUGGGACUGAGACACGGCCCAGACUCCUACGGGAGGCAGCAGUGGGGAAUAUUGGACAAUGGGCGGAAGCCUGAUCCAGCAACGCCGCGUGAGGGAUGACGGCCUUCGGGUUGUAAACCUCUUUCAGCACAGACGAAGCGCAAGUGACGGUAUGUGCAGAAGAAGGACCGGCCAACUACGUGCCAGCAGCCGCGGUAAUACGUAGGGUCCGAGCGUUGUCCGGAAUUAUUGGGCGUAAAGGGCUCGUAGGCGGUUUGUCGCGUCGGGAGUGAAAACACCGGGCUUAACUCGGUGCUUGCUUUCGAUACGGGCAGACUAGAGGUAUUCAGGGGAGAACGGAAUUCCUGGUGUAGCGGUGAAAUGCGCAGAUAUCAGGAGGAACACCGGUGGCGAAGGC
This 647-nucleotide ribosomal RNA is filed under the name uncultured Actinomycetes bacterium. RNAcentral describes it as "bacterial SSU rRNA". It matches the Rfam family "Bacterial small subunit ribosomal RNA", at positions 61 to 722 of the family's 1533-position model. The record is from RNAcentral. Lineage: Bacteria; Bacillati; Actinomycetota; Actinomycetes.